UCCUGGAAGGGCGUGGAAUGAGGAUGAAGUCACAUAACAUGACGUACACAUCUGCAAAAAAUUUCCACACUGUUGGACAUCUUGGAAAUCUUUUUUUUUUCAUGAGUUCAGCUGAUAUUUAAGGAAAUCAGUUCAGGUCGACACUGGCAGUCUUGUUUCUUCUGCUGUAUGAGCCUGUAACAACACCAGUUCAGCUGGUUUUCAGAAAACAAGGGGUGGAAAACCUGUGCCGGUGCAGGGAGUCUGAAAGAGUGCUUAGAGUCACUGCUAUAAUCUCAAUUGAUAAAGAACCCAGUGUGGAGAGCAGACCAGGUUAAAACAGUCCUUCCACAACCAGCCCAAACAAACCUAUACUCUCAGCCCAGGAUACUGGGUCCUGAUCGGAGCUGUUCAGAGAACUCAUUCCAGGCACUACUGAUAACACAGACAGCAGUUAAGGACAAAGGUAAUCCCACUUGGGUUUAUACCAACCACUGCAAUUGGAUUUCACAACGACAGUAAUAACCCAUAGGGUUGAAAAUUUUCCACGUUGACGUU
RNAcentral lists this long non-coding RNA (537 nucleotides) under Oreochromis niloticus (Nile tilapia). Its description in RNAcentral is "lncRNA (ENSONIG00000028751.1)". Lineage: Eukaryota; Metazoa; Chordata; Actinopteri; Cichliformes; Cichlidae. The record is from RNAcentral.